GUUAAAUACCACACAAAUUCUGUUUACAAAUCCACAUAAUAAAAACUAUUGUAUGAAAAUGUCUGUAUCACACACCAUUGAUUUUUCUGCAGGCCUUGAGUUUGUAUGUGUGAAACAAUACUGCUGCCUGGGGUCAUGAGGAAAUAAGACAGACUAUUUUGAGGUUGAAAAAAACAAGGAUGAUAUGCUGCCCUAUACAAAGUUAUUUUACUUCCCCUGUUUGGCCUGUACGAAAGCCUGUUGGGACUUAAAAAAUAUAGACUGCCAAAAACUGGACAAAAUAACUCUUGCAUUUCAUACAGCGAUACCCAGUAUUGCUGACUCAAUUGACUGGCUCACCCUGACAUUGAAUCAAUACCACUAUGUAAUGGACCUGGCCAAAUGCCCUCUCCAUCGCUAUCAUACCUGAGAGUCAAGACCAGUUUACCUUCACCUGGGAAGACAAACAUUAGAAUUUUCAAAUGUUGCUACAAGAGUAUUACAUAGCCCUACUUUGUGCCUUGGCCUGGUAGCCCAAGAUCUGGCCACAUGGACCAAGCCACACUCUGUAUCUUUGUUCCAUUAUAUUGAUGAUAUAUUAACUUCUGAUUGCCUUACAGAUUUGGAAGCUGCUGGACACAGUCUAAAAAAAGCUUUGCUGGCCUGGAAGUGGGGCAUCAACAAAGAUAAGGUCCAGGGCCCUGGCUUAUCUGUCAAAUUCUUGGGUGUUAUCUAGUCAGGAUGAACAUGUGUUCUGCAUCCUCCCCAAAGGAUGAGACCUCCCUAUGAUGGAUUCUUUUUGCUCUGUCCUUCCAACCAUGCCAGGUCAAGUAUGGAUUACACUUUCUUCUUAAGCAAGCUGGAAACUUCUGGUGGACGGACAAAGUGAACGAUUUAUUUUUGAUGCCUAGUAAAGGGCUAUCCUUGUGUAACAGGUGCUGAGACUGUGGAAAGGUAACUGAUGUCUCUGGCCAACCAUCAGCAAACCCCUAAGGCAGUGGUAGUGAACCUUUGGGACAUGCCACAGCAGUUUGUUAUCACUGAAAGCUCUAAAAAGUUCUCAUCACUGCCCUAAGGCCUACCAGCAGCUAUGUAGGUGAGCUUGGAUGUGUCUUCUUAGGCCUGCCAAUAGGCACAUUGAUGACAGUUGAUCCUAGAUUGCAGACUUCAGACUCACAGGCACUCUUAUAAAUCAUACCCUGUCCCACAGAAACUUUGAGAUAAUGCUUGUUUAUUGUUCCAGCCUACUAAAUCUUGGGGUAAUUUGUUACAGUACAAUAGAAAA
Non-coding RNA from Heterocephalus glaber (naked mole-rat), 1264 nucleotides. NCBI's taxonomy places the organism in Eukaryota, Metazoa, Chordata, Mammalia, Rodentia, Bathyergidae. The record is from RefSeq and is a predicted model, not a curated record.